Molecule: ribosomal RNA, 301 nt
Filed under: uncultured bacterium
Lineage: Bacteria
Description: partial 16S ribosomal RNA
Rfam family: Bacterial small subunit ribosomal RNA
Source: RNAcentral
CAGUAGCCGCGGUAAUACGAAGGGUGCAAGCGUUAAUCGGAAUUACUGGGCGUAAAGCGUGCGUAGGCGGUUUGUUAAGUCUGUUGUGAAAUCCCCGGGCUCAACCUGGGAAUGGCAAUGGAUACUGGCAAGCUAGAAUGUGUCAGAGGAUGGUGGAAUUCCCGGUGUAGCGGUGAAAUGCGUAGAGAUCGGGAGGAACAUCAGUGGCGAAGGCAGCCCCCUGGGCCAAUACUGACGCUCAUGCACGAAAGCGUGGGGAGCAAACAGGAUUAGAUACCCGGGUAGUCCCUGUCUCUUAUAC